Heterocephalus glaber (naked mole-rat) is the source of this 1335-nucleotide non-coding RNA. Lineage: Eukaryota; Metazoa; Chordata; Mammalia; Rodentia; Bathyergidae. The record is from RefSeq and is a predicted model, not a curated record.
AUGAGGUUGUUCAGAGUGAAAUUUUAGCAAGAUGCAUCUCCCCGAGUAGGGCUGUGUAGGGCAAAGGAAAUGGAAUCCUUAAUACAUCACAGCUCCCUCAAAUGAGUGCCUCUCCCUUGGAAAACCUUGACAUUUGUUAGACUGGAGCCUCAAAAUAUGUCCCUAAAGUUCUAGUGUCCUCCCUCUGUCAUAAGAAAUAUAUUUUAACUGAGCCAGGCUCUGUGGAGCUUUGUUUCUAUGCUCAAAAGUUUUCCUUUCUGACUGGUUAGAGAGAGAAGGAGGAGGCACCAGUCCAGGGAGCAUGUGAGUCUGAACCCCAGUUCCAAAUUUUCUGUUAUUUCCAACUCUUCAGUGGACUCUCUCUCUCUCUCCCUCUCUCUCUCUCAGCUGUAAUACAGUAAAAUGAUUUCAUAGUCACAUAUUCAAUUGAGAAGCAUUACAAGGAAGAGAAGAAGAAUUCAGCAAUCCUGUGUUACCAGAUGAAUAUGUCCAGAUAUGAUAACCAAAACCAGAUGGCUUAAAGCUACUCUUGCCAACACCCACGUGGAGGGCUCGUCUUCCACUGGACUGAGGAGACCAGAGCGAGCCUGCCUUGGCACCUGGCUUCUGCUGCAGCAGCAUCCGGACCCCCAUUCUCUUCCCAUCACACAACGUCCUGACCUUUCUUCUGAGCUCCUCCCCACAGCUCCAGCUGAUGCAAACUCUGAUUCAAAUGACAGACUGGUCACCUCUCCCUCCACACAAGCACACUCCCUUGGCUGUCUCCGGGAAAUCUUCAUGUUUACUAGGCUGGAGUCUCAGAACAGGUCCUUACAGGUUCUAGUUUCCUGUGUCAUUUGAAAUGUAAGUGUCUGCAAUUCUCCAGUCUGCUGAGAACCUGACCAUUUUUACAGUCACCAUUUUCCCUUGUCCUCUUAUAUUCAACCCAUGGCUAAAGCCUCUCUGUUCUACUUCAGCAGCACCUUUGGCCUCUCUCUUCUUCCCCUUCGGUUUCUAGACCAUUGCAGAGGCUACUGGAAGGCAACCCUGCUUCUAGCCUUCCACAAGCCCCUCCUCCUAUCCACCCUCGACAGCACUGCUACUUCAGUUUCUGUGCACAACCUGAUCUGCUCAGCCCCUGACUCCAUGGCUGCGGAGUGCUGCCAGGAUGACGUCAACUCCCCUCACAGAUCCCCGAGCUUUGAAGGCCUGCCACAAACUGGCUCCAGGCUCCAUCAAAUGAAAUCCUGCCAAGCUUCAAGGCCCAAUUAAAAAUAUAAGAUGCCAUUAAGCCUUCUGCCUUCUUUGGUUUCUUUCUCCACUCCGUUCUUCCAAAUAAAACCACUUUCUGCUGUG